RNAcentral lists this microRNA precursor (63 nucleotides) under Caenorhabditis briggsae. RNAcentral's name for it is "Cbr-Mir-36-o8c_pre stem-loop". It matches the Rfam family "mir-36 microRNA precursor family", at positions 24 to 85 of the family's 103-position model. Lineage: Eukaryota; Metazoa; Nematoda; Chromadorea; Rhabditida; Rhabditidae. The record is from RNAcentral.
CGCUGUUUUUCUCCGCGGUGAUACUCCAAAGAAAGUCGUUAUCACCGGGUGAAAACUGGUAGA